GUCUGCAUUGAUUUAAUUGAAUUUUAUUAAAUAUUUAGAGAACAAAUAAUUCCUAGGCAACAUGGAAAAAUAAGGUGCAAAGGAUUAUAGAUUUAUAGCUUCAAGAGCCUAGGGAUAUAGCUUCAUCCUCUCAUUUUACCUGUGCCAAAGCCCAGUGUGGCAAUAAUUUAGAAGAUAUUUAUACUUAAAGGAAAAAAAAAUCAGUGAUUGGGAAAUCACUGGAAAGGAAGGUAUGCACUAGAAUUAGCCUUAUUAAAGAAUGAUAAAUUGAAAAUUAUUAGGAACCUUAUGGGGCUUUUACUUCAAACCACUCAAUUCAUGUUAAAAAAGCAGAGGUAUAGAGCAAUCAAAUUACUUAUCCCAGGUCAGAAAGUUGUGAAGAAAUGUAGUUGAGACAGAUUCUUAAUUGGUUAGUAGUAUAUCAUUCAAUACCCUCUUAUGUUAUGACACAGAUCUAGACAGCAGAAGUGACAUACCAAAGAUCACAAGAAUUUGAGGUGAACCAAGUAUAAUAAUAAUCCAGGUCUUCUACCUCUGUGUUAGACACACAAUCAUAUGGUUUUUCUCCAGUUUUUUUCUUUUUUAGCUAUCUGAAGCAAAGGCUGUGGGUGGGUAGGUAUGAACUGCUGAGGUAAGAUAGGGCAAGAUCCUUAAUAGAAUAAGUAUAAAAAGACAAAUGAGGGAAAAAAAGAUUGUGUCGAGUUCAACUAAUUCAUCAAUGGAUCAAAAUGAAGAAAGGAAGAGAAUUUUUCAAUUCAGGGUAAUAGUUUGAGAAAAAUACCCUGAGAAGUAGAGGGAUAGAAGGUCAGAGUGAGAAUGAACAAUGAGGUUUAGGGUUUUGUGGCAGAGGGAGAGGUGGAAUAUAAAGGUUAUUUUAGUGUUUAUAAAUAUAGAAGUGGUGAAUUUAGGGGUGACAACAAAAUGAAGGUAUGGCCAUCUUUGUGUAGCUGAGGUAUGGUGAGGAAGCCGGUCCUAUGAAAUAAAAAUGGCGAAGAACUGGGAGAUUAGGGUAAAUAUUCCUUUGAUAUUUGGGGAGUAUCAAUAUGUUUUUUGAAGUCCUAUAUCAUGAGGCUAGGAGUUGGGAAGAAAAGAAAGAAGGUGAGCCAGUCACUAAACUCUUUGCAAAAACUCAGGGGAUGUCCUGGGGAUCAAUAAAUAAAAGCUACCAGAACUUGAUUGAUUUCUAGGUCUGGAUUAAGUGAACUGAAAAGGGAGAAGUUACUGAUAGAUGGUCAUAGAGGAUAGUCUGGACAUUCUAACGGCCUCAUUUUAAACAUUAAGUGAGACAAAUGAGUACAAAUAUAACUAGUGCUGGAAAGGGAGACCAAGAAGAAUGGAAUAAGGAAGGAGUCUACUUUCAGUGGGUAACAAAAUAUGAAAAGAGUGGGAAAGGAAAAAUUUUAAAGAUGAAAACAUAUCUGUUAUCAAUGGAGAGUGCAUUCCAGAGAGCAAAGUAGAAGGGAUGGGUAGCUCUAGAAUGGAACAUUGUGGGAGUUGGGUUAAAAGGAUGGGAAUAAUUUGAAUAAUUAGAGGCUGUGGUUCAGAAUCAUUAAGAAGAGGAGGUUACAACUGGGUGUGUGCUUAUUAAUUAUUGAUAAAUGGAUUUUGGGGUGUUAUCAGUAUUCUUAGGGGCUUGCCUUCAGAGUAGAAUCUUCUUGGUCAUUUGUCAACUUAGGGGAAGGGACUAAGGAGAGAAUUAGAUGAAAAAGAGAAAAAAAAUAACUCUUGCAUACUAUCCAAUCUGGGCCUGAAGAACAUUGGGGAGAAGAGAGUGGAAUGGCAAGCAGAACUGGGCCAAUCCAGGAAAUAUGCAAAAGAAACAAAGAGGAAUCAAACCUUCCUCUUUUUCACAUCAUGAAGAGGUACAAGAAUGAGACCAGAAGAAAAUGGAAGGAAAUCUCUCUUCCUCCCCUUACACCUUGAAGAGGCCAGGUUAGAAAUUGGUGGAUAGGAGGGAAUGAUAUCUAUCUUCCUCUUUUGCAAUCAGGAAGAACUGAGAUGCAUUUCAAGCUGAAUUCUAUUAAACAGUGUAAAAACAAAUGAUUGUAGGUCCUAGGUUAUAUAAACUAAACAUAUAUAUACACACAGAGAGAGAAGACAUCUCAUGAAGCUCCUUCUAUAACACAUUUAUUGUUCUGAUGCACAAAUCAGUUGACAUAAAUUAGGCAAUGAAAAAGUAGACCAAUAUCAGAAGUGAACCUUAUUUUAAGAAUACUGAUUAAAACCAUGAUCAAAGAGGUCAUAGCUGUGUAUUCACAAAUCAUCUUUAUUUAUCAAGUUGAAUUUAUUCCAGAAAUUCAAGGAUAUUUCAAAUUUAGGGAAAAUAUAGACAUAAUUAUAUUGAUAGCUAGCACAAUAGAAAUUAAUUUUGAAAAAUUGAAAAUUGAGAGGAUGCCCAUGAAUUGGGAAAUGACUCAAUAUCCUGCAGUAUGUAAUUGUGAUAGAAUAGUAUUGUCUUAUAGAAAAUGAUGAGCAGGAUGUUCUCAAAAAAAAAUUCUGGAAAAUCCUCCAUCAACUU
This is a long non-coding RNA of Antechinus flavipes (yellow-footed antechinus), 2518 nucleotides long. RefSeq lists it as uncharacterized. The record is from RefSeq and is a predicted model, not a curated record. NCBI's taxonomy places the organism in Eukaryota, Metazoa, Chordata, Mammalia, Dasyuromorphia, Dasyuridae. The transcript has 2 exons.